Ictalurus punctatus (channel catfish) is the source of this 349-nucleotide long non-coding RNA. RefSeq lists it as uncharacterized. The record is from RefSeq and is a predicted model, not a curated record. The transcript has 2 exons. Lineage: Eukaryota; Metazoa; Chordata; Actinopteri; Siluriformes; Ictaluridae.
UGAGUGCGGCGACGGCCCCCAUGCUCACCAGCGUGCCGGUGGACAGGCUGCGGAGGUACUCCCUCACCUCGGCCAGCUCAGGCACACGCAGCUGCUUCAACAGCUCCUGGGCCUGCAUGUCUUUCUGCUAAUGGAUCUGAGUCUAGAGUGGAGGGAUGUUGCAGACUCUUGAACAGGCUGAGUGGAGACAGGUAGCAUUAACAGACAUUUGUCAACAGUAAAGCAUCCGAGUUUAUGUGUUAUUGCAAUAGACAAUGCAAAUCCGAAGGUCAAACUCAGACCUGCCCCUUCCGCCGUCUUAUUGGACGAUCUGCCUUCGAAAUGUGCCGCGUCAGCUGGUAUAUUGGGG